This 507-nucleotide ribosomal RNA is filed under the name uncultured Sphingomonas sp. RNAcentral's name for it is "bacterial SSU rRNA". It matches the Rfam family "Bacterial small subunit ribosomal RNA", at positions 90 to 632 of the family's 1533-position model. Lineage: Bacteria; Pseudomonadati; Pseudomonadota; Alphaproteobacteria; Sphingomonadales; Sphingomonadaceae. The record is from RNAcentral.
GUCUAGUGGCGCACGGGUGCGUAACGCGUGGGAAUCUGCCCUUGGGUUCGGGAUAACAGUUGGAAACGACUGCUAAUACCGGAUGAUGACUUCGGUCCAAAGAUUUAUCGCCCAGGGAUGAGCCCGCGUAGGAUUAGCUAGUUGGUGAGGUAAAGGCUCACCAAGGCGACGAUCCUUAGCUGGUCUGAGAGGAUGAUCAGCCACACUGGGACUGAGACACGGCCCAGACUCCUACGGGAGGCAGCAGUGGGGAAUAUUGGACAAUGGGCGAAAGCCUGAUCCAGCAAUGCCGCGUGAGUGAUGAAGGCCUUAGGGUUGUAAAGCUCUUUUACCCGGGAUGAUAAUGACAGUACCGGGAGAAUAAGCCCCGGCUAACUCCGUGCCAGCAGCCGCGGUAAUACGGAGGGGGCUAGCGUUGUUCGGAAUUACUGGGCGUAAAGCGCGCGUAGGCGGCUUUGUAAGUUAGAGGUGAAAGCCCGGAGCUCAACUCCGGAACUGCCUUUAAGA